AGUUGAGAAAGGCAGGAGGAAGACAUGUUGCUGAAGAAGGCAGCUGUUUAAUGUUUCAUGUUAUUUGCAGAAGUUUGAAAUCUCCGUUCUAGGCUGUUUUUA
Molecule: non-coding RNA, 102 nt
Organism: Tinamus guttatus (white-throated tinamou)
Lineage: Eukaryota; Metazoa; Chordata; Aves; Tinamiformes; Tinamidae
Source: RefSeq, a predicted model, not a curated record